RNAcentral lists this long non-coding RNA (207 nucleotides) under Lathyrus oleraceus (garden pea). RNAcentral describes it as "Pisum sativum (pea) long non-coding RNA (PSAT_LNC022479)". The record is from RNAcentral. Lineage: Eukaryota; Viridiplantae; Streptophyta; Magnoliopsida; Fabales; Fabaceae.
UUUAAUACAUUUGAGUUUUGAAAAAAACAAAGUUAAAAUAAUUUACAAAAUGUCAGUAGUCUAUUGUUUGGCCAUAUAAUACAAUAAGAUUUAUUUAGAGUGUUUUACAUUACAUUACAUCAUUUAAAUUAAAGAUACAAAACAAAAAAAUAAAAAGGAAUUAAUAAAAAAGAAAAGAAAAUUACAAGUUUGUUUCAUCCACACGAG